This 481-nucleotide ribosomal RNA is filed under the name uncultured bacterium. RNAcentral's name for it is "bacterial SSU rRNA". It matches the Rfam family "Bacterial small subunit ribosomal RNA", at positions 30 to 504 of the family's 1533-position model. The record is from RNAcentral.
AUUGAACGCUGGCGGCGUGCUUAACACAUGCAAGUCGUGCGGUAACAGGCGUAGCAAUACGUGCUGACGAGCGGCGAACGGGUGCGUAAUACAUGGGAAUCUGCCCUUUAGUGGGGAAUAACCCGGCGAAAGCCGGGCUAAUGCCGCAUAAGAUCUUCGGAUGAAAGCGGGGGAUCGUAAGACCUCGCGCUGAUGGAUGAGCCCAUGUCGGAUUAGCAGUUGGUGAGGUAACGGCUCACCAAGGCGACGAUCCGUAGCUGGUCUGAGAGGACGGCCAGCCACACUGGGACUGAGACACGGCCCAGACUCCUACGGGAGGCAGCAGUGGGGAAUAUUGGACAAUGGGCGCAAGCCUGAUCCAGCGAUGCCGCGUGUGUGAAGAAGGCCUGCGGGUUGUAAAGCACUUUCAGUAGGGAAGAAAGCCGAGUGCUAAUAUCACUCGGUCUUGACGUUACUUACAGAAGAAGCACCGGCUAACUCC